ACGGAGGGUGCAAGCGUUAUUCGGAAUUACUGGGCGUAAAGGGCGUGCAGGCGGGAGAGCAAGUCUGAUGUGUACGCCCGAGGCUGAACCCCGGAAGGGCAUUGGAAACUGCUUUUCUUGAGUUCUGGAGAGGGAGGGAGAAUUCCCGGUGUAGUGGUGAAAUGAGUCGGGAUCGGGAGGAGCAUCUGUGGCGAAGGCGCGCUUCAGGACAGCCAUUUUUUCUGAGACGCGAAAGCGUGGGGAGCAAACAU
RNAcentral lists this ribosomal RNA (251 nucleotides) under uncultured prokaryote. Its description in RNAcentral is "partial 16S rRNA". It matches the Rfam family "Bacterial small subunit ribosomal RNA", at positions 525 to 775 of the family's 1533-position model. The record is from RNAcentral.